Molecule: ribosomal RNA, 425 nt
Filed under: uncultured bacterium
Lineage: Bacteria
Description: bacterial SSU rRNA
Rfam family: Bacterial small subunit ribosomal RNA
Source: RNAcentral
GGGGAAUUUUGGACAAUGGGGGAAACCCUGAUCCAGCAAUGCCGCGUGUGUGAAGAAGGCCUUCGGGUUGUAAAGCACUUUUGGCGGGAACGAAAUGGAGCUUGCUAAUACCAGGCUUCGAUGACGGUACUCGCAGAAUAAGCACCGGCUAACUACGUGCCAGCAGCCGCGGUAAGACGUAGGGUGCAAGCGUUAAUCGGAAUUACUGGGCGUAAAGCGUGCGCAGGCGGUUUUGUAAGACAGGCGUGAAAUCCCCGGGCUUAACCUGGGAACUGCGCUUGUGACUGCAAGACUAGAGUGUGUCAGAGGGAGGUGGAAUUCCGCGUGUAGCAGUGAAAUGUGUAGAGAUGCGGAGGAACACCGAUGGCGAAGGCAGCCUCCUGGGAUAACACUGACGCUCAUGCACGAAAGCGUGGGGAGCAAAC